GAUGAACGCUGGCGGCGUGCCUAAUACAUGCCAGUAGAACGCUGAAGGAAGGAGCUUGCUCUUUCCGGAUGAGUUGCGAACGGGUGAGUAACGCGUAGGUAACCUGCCUGGUAGCGGGGGAUAACUAUUGGAAACGAUAGCUAAUACCGCAUAACAGUAGAUGUUGCAUGAUAUCUACUUAAAAGGUGCAAUUGCACCACUACCAGAUGGACCUGCGUUGUAUUAGCUAGUUGGUGAGGUAACGGCUCACCAAGGCGACGAUACAUAGCCGACCUGAGAGGGUGAUCGGCCACACUGGGACUGAGACACGGCCCAGACUCCUACGGGAGGCAGCAGGAGGGAAUCUUCGGCAAUGGACGGAAGUCUGACCGAGCAACGCCGCGGGAGUGAAGAAGGGUUUCGGAUCGUAAAGCUCUGUUGUAAGAGAAGAACGAGGGUGAGAGUGGAAAGUUCACACUGUGACGGUAUCUUACCAGAAAGGGACGGCUAACUACGUG
RNAcentral lists this ribosomal RNA (497 nucleotides) under uncultured bacterium. Its description in RNAcentral is "partial 16S ribosomal RNA". It matches the Rfam family "Bacterial small subunit ribosomal RNA", at positions 28 to 507 of the family's 1533-position model. The record is from RNAcentral.